GAUGAAGAACGUAGCGAAAUGCGAUACGUAAUGUGAAUUGCAAAUUCAGUGAAUCAUCGAGUCUUUGAACGCACAUUGCGCCCCCUGGUAUUCCGGGGGGCAUGCCUGUCCGAGCGUCAUUGCUGCCCUCAAGCACGGCUUGUGUGUUGGGCCCCGUCCUCCGAUCCCGGGGGACGGGCCCGAAAGGCAGCGGCGGCACCGCGUCCGGUCCUCGAGCGUAUGGGGCUUUGUCACCCGCUCUGUAGGCCCGGCCGGCGCUUGCCGAUCAACCCAAAUUUUUAUCCAGGUUGACCUCGGAUCAGGUAGGGAUACCCGCCGAACUUAAGCAUAUCAAUAAGCGGAGGA
Molecule: unclassified non-coding RNA, 345 nt
Filed under: soil metagenome
Description: partial contains 5.8S ribosomal RNA, internal transcribed spacer 2, and large subunit ribosomal RNA
Rfam family: 5.8S ribosomal RNA (bases 1-119)
Source: RNAcentral